This 328-nucleotide unclassified non-coding RNA is filed under the name soil metagenome. RNAcentral describes it as "partial contains 5.8S ribosomal RNA, internal transcribed spacer 2, and large subunit ribosomal RNA". The stretch from base 1 to 120 matches the Rfam family "5.8S ribosomal RNA", at positions 35 to 154 of the family's 154-position model. The record is from RNAcentral.
GAUGAAGAACGCAGCGAAAUGCGAUAAGUAAUGUGAAUUGCAGAAUUCAGUGAAUCAUCGAAUCUUUGAACGCACAUUGCGCCCCUUGGUAUUCCGAGGGGCAUGCCUGUUCGAGCGUCAUUAUAACCCCUCAAGCUCAGCUUGGUGUUGGGGCCUGCCGCACGGGCAGCCCUUAAAAUCAGUGGCGGUGCCAUCUGGCUCUAAGCGUAGUAAUUCUUCUCGCUAUAGAGUCCCGGUGGAUGCUUGCCAUUAACCCCCAAUUUUCUAUGGUUGACCUCGGAUCAGGUAGGGAUACCCGCUGAACUUAAGCGUAUCAAUAAGCGGAGGA